GGAUCCGGAGUUACUGCAGGCUGAAGCACAAAUAAUUGAAGAACUGGAAAUAUAAAAAAACAUAAUUAAUUGCCUUUAAUAGAGUUGAAGUAAAUAAAAAAUAAUAUCAAACAAAAACAAUUGAAAAACAGCUGGACAUGAUUGGAUCUAAAUGGAUUGAUUGGAUAAAUCUAAGAUUCGCAUUUCUCAGUCCUAACUAAAGAUAGAUACAAAAAUUAUCCUUUUUUAAACAGAUAUUUUACUUAAUGCUUUCUAAUGAAUUCUAAUUAAUGUUCAAUUAAAUAAAUUAACUUUUAAAAUGUGUUUAACCAUAAUGUUCAAUCAAAGUAAUUAACUAGCUUUCGGUGUAAUUCGUAGCAAUUUAAACUUGCGUUGAAUCAUUAUUUUAAUGUAGAGGUAAGUGUCUUAAGUUGAGUGUUAUAAUGAAAACAACUGUAACAACCAGAGGAAUACCAAGGAUCAUACUAAGGUGUCGUUAACUGGGAAUUACAAUUCAACUAUUGAUAUUAGUUAAAUGAUGGCUAGAUGAAAUGAAUUAUCUCCUAGCAGCAAAGUUAAAUUGAGUUAACUGAGGAACAAAAAUGAAUGUUCAUGUUUCCUUAAGAAAAUUACUCAUCCCUUUACAUUAUGCUCAACUGAAUAUGGAUUAAAUUACGAUGACUUUAAACAUUAUUACAAGAAAUACAAACAAAAUACGGUCAAAAGCAAACAAGAUGAGUAAAUAGCAAUCUAAAUCAAUGCCAAGGCUGACAGGACCAGGAAAGGUGAAGCUCGGCCAACAAACUCAUACAUGACCCCACCGAAAGGAGGUCCAAUUAAGACACCUAAAGCUAACCCACCAAGAGCUAUUGCCAUGGCGUUACCUCGUUCACG
This is a non-coding RNA of Tetranychus urticae (two-spotted spider mite), 873 nucleotides long. NCBI's taxonomy places the organism in Eukaryota, Metazoa, Arthropoda, Arachnida, Trombidiformes, Tetranychidae. The record is from RefSeq and is a predicted model, not a curated record.